RNAcentral lists this ribosomal RNA (1396 nucleotides) under uncultured bacterium. RNAcentral's name for it is "16S ribosomal RNA". It matches the Rfam family "Bacterial small subunit ribosomal RNA". The record is from RNAcentral.
UUCGCCCUUAGAGUUUGAUCCUGGCUCAGGACGAACGCUGGCGGCGUGCUUAACACAUGCAAGUCGAACGAGAAUCUACGGAUAGAGGAUUCGUCCAAUUGAAGUAGAGGAAAGUGGCGGACGGGUGAGUAACGCGUGAGGAACCUGCCUUGGAGAGGGGGACAACAGCUGGAAACGGCUGCUAAUACCGCAUGAUGCAUAUGGGAGACAUCUCCUGUAUGCCAAAGAUUUAUCGCUCUGAGAUGGUCUCGCGUCUGAUUAGCUAGUUGGUGAGGUAACGGCCCACCAAGGCGACGAUCAGUAGCCGGACUGAGAGGUUGACCGGCCACAUUGGGACUGAGAUACGGCCCAGACUCCUACGGGAGGCAGCAGUGGGGAAUAUUGGGCAAUGGGCGCAAGCCUGACCCAGCAACGCCGCGUGAAGGAAGAAGGCUUUCGGGUUGUAAACUUCUUUUAAGGGGGAAGAGCAGAAGACGGUACCCCUAGAAUAAGCCACGGCUAACUACGUGCCAGCAGCCGCGGUAAUACGUAGGUGGCAAGCGUUGUCCGGAAUUACUGGGUGUAAAGGGUGUGUAGGCGGGACUGCAAGUCAGAUGUGAAAACUAUGGGCUCAACUCAUAGCCUGCGUCUGAAACUGUGGUUCUUGAGAGUGGGAGAGGUAAAUGGAAUUCCUGGUGUAGCGGUGAAAUGCGUAGAUAUCAGGAGGAACACCGGUGGCGAAGGCGAUUUACUGGACCACAACUGACGCUGAGACACGAAAGCGUGGGGAGCAAACAGGAUUAGAUACCCUGGUAGUCCACGCUGUAAACGAUGAAUGCUAGGUGUGGGGACCGAAAAGGUUUCCGUGCCGCAGUUAACACAAUAAGCAUUCCACCUGGGGAGUACGGCCGCAAGGUUGAAACUCAAAGGAAUUGACGGGAGCCCGCACAAGCAGUGGAGUAUGUGGUUUAAUUCGACGCAACGCGAAGAACCUUACCGGAGCUUGACAUCCUGCUGACGGUCCGAGUAAUGUUGGACGUUCCUUCGGGACAGCAGAGACAGGUGGUGCAUGGUUGUCGUCAGCUCGUGUCGUGAGAUGUUGGGUUAAGUCCCGCAACGAGCGCAACCCUUAUUGUCAGUUGCUACGCAAGAGCACUCUGGCGAGACUGCCGUUGACAAAACGGAGGAAGGUGGGGACGACGUCAAAUCAUCAUGCCCCUUACGCCCCGGGCUACACACGUACUACAAUGGCGCAAACAAAGGGAAGCGAUACCGCGAGGUGGAGCAAAUCCCAUAAAAGGCGUCCCAGUUCGGAUUGCAGGCUGAAACCCGCCUGUAUGAAGUUGGAAUUGCUAGUAAUCGUAGAUCAGCAUGCUACGGUGAAUACGUUCCCGGGCUUUGCACACACCGCCCGUCA